This is an RNA transcript of Agrilus planipennis (emerald ash borer), 8198 nucleotides long. RefSeq lists it as uncharacterized. NCBI's taxonomy places the organism in Eukaryota, Metazoa, Arthropoda, Insecta, Coleoptera, Buprestidae. The record is from RefSeq and is a predicted model, not a curated record. The transcript is spliced from 7 exons.
UAAAUUUACAGUUUUGUUAGUGGUAGUGAUGUGACAGGAGAAUUUUUAUUCUUUGCAAAUUUUACAAAUAAAAUGAGUAUAUAUUAGCUGCCUAUAGCUAAUAACAUUAUUUAAAAUGUUAAUUAAACUUUGUUAUUGUGAUUAGUUUUGUGUAGAGUGUAGUUUUGUAAAUGCGUUAGUAAACAGUUAGUUUUCUGUGCCAUCACGCCAUAUUUGUUUAUCAUUAUUAUAUUUCAGUAAGACAAAAUUUGGGUUGGUUUAGAAAUGAUUUAAUAUUUCGUUGUCCAUUUUAGAUUAAUUGCAAAAUGCACAUUGAUUCUGUUUAUGGAUGUUUUGUUUAAAUUUUUGUUUAAAGAAAUUUACGUUAGGCUGUUUAUGAACUUAAGCUUCACAUUCCUUAUUAACUAACUCUGUGUAGUAUACAAAAAGCACUUCACGAUGGAUAGUUUAUUCUUUCCACCCUUACCUGUACCAAUGAUAAAAAAUGAAUGUGAAGAAAUUAUAAUAGAUGAAGAGUGUUCAGAUGAUAGUGGUGGUGAAGACAAGACAGAUUCGUGGGAUAAAGAAAUCCGUAAAAAGAUAGCAAAACUAGUUGUGUACCAAAAUGAAAAAAUUUUCAAUGCAGUUGUUGAAGAAUAUUUAAGGUUGCUCAAACGACAUGCUGUUUUUAUUCAAGACAAACAAAAUUUGUUAGAUAAAAUUACAAACCAUAUUCAGAUGUUCACGUCAUUUUAUCAUGAAGGACAUGAAAAUUCGUUCCAACAAAAAUAUUUUGAUGUAAUGGAAGAAGUUUUGACGGUGUUUAGCAACGUCCAAAUGGACAUUGUUAGGCAAAUAAAAAAGAGAGGUUGCAACAAAUCUGAAUAUGUUACAACUAUAAAAGGGAUUGCACAAAAGAUGUGCUGUGUUCUGUCCUCAUCACUUUUGUAUAAUCUGAAACACAUUCUCCAUGUUCUUCUAAAAGCUACAAAACAUGAUGUGGAGCCUCCAUCAUGGAAAGAUAUUAUGAACACAGUCUACUCGCACUUUUUGAUUCAGUAUCCCCUGCAUGAUUACAGUUCAGAAUCAUUUUGUCGCAAUUUCCUUCUGUUUGAACGGUGGAAGGAGAUUACGGCGGUAGCAAAUCACAAAGAUAUGGAAAGGACGUUGUAUUAUCGUUGUCGUCAAACGCCUAAAAGUGUAAAAGCAGAUGCAGUGAUAAGUUCCAUUCUUAUGCCUUCGUCUAUGGAUUCCGUUACAGAUAUAGUUACGCAUUUAAUUAAAGGGAAAAGUGAUGCCAUUAAAUCAUACUUUGAUUAUAUUGAAAAACAGAAAAAGAAAUGUACUGCAGAUGAGCCAGUUAGCUUGAACGACUUAAGUUUCUGUGAUUUAGAUGAUGAUUUAGAAUAUAUGAGUCGUGGUUCUGACGAGUGUUCAAAACUUUUCUAUGACAUCGUCAAAGAUUAUGAAAACGCUAAAAUACAGGGUGUACCGUCAAUUGAUAUAAAUAAUCAUGGGAUGAAUGAGGACCUCGACGAAGAAGGAGAUUGUAUAGUGAUAGAUGAUGACGACGUCUCGGAAUGUAGACAGAGAGAAAGCAACUUGAUCUGCGUCAUAAGUGAUUCUGACAGUGACUGUGAGAUGGUCUAUUUAUCAAACCCAACUAAAAAGAAGAAUCAUACCAAAACCAAAUCGAUUAAAACUACUCCGUCAAUUCCACAGUUGUGGUCCAAGACGUUUCCUGAACCUAUCGGAAAUGCUAGUUCUAUUUCAGAAACAAACUCUUGUAGUGCACAGAGUGACGACCAUGAUGAUGAUAUUCAAAUUUUAGAUAGUGAAAGUGUUUCAAGUAUGGAACUGAGUAGACAGUCAGCUAAAGAAGAUACUAGUAUUUCUCUUAACAGGGCGCAAAUUCAAAAAGGCAACAGUGAUAUUCGUGAAGUUUUAAGAAAUUUAGUUGUAGUAAAAGAUCCUGAACUAACUAAUACCAAUGACGAAAUCGAAAUCGAGAAAUCUUUGUCUAGUAUUAAAGAAAUUGAUCUCAAUAGAGUUUCUACACCUGAUAAAAGCAUACAAGGUGAUUCCAAUAAUCUUACAUCAAAUUUGUCCGACUCCACCACGAUUCAUGGUAAAAACAAUGUUGAAGACGACAACUGUCAUCAUUGUAGUUGCUGCGCGAAAAAUAAACUGACGUCUUCAUCUUCCCUUCUCAUAUCUAGUAAUCAAAAUAGUGGUGAUAACAGAGAAAUUGAGAGAAACAAAAUUGUCGAAGUUUCGACAGAAAUAAGAAUAGAAGGAUUGGAGUCAAUGACCAAUGGGCAUACUUACUCCUACGGUUUGAUAACACCACCAUCUGAUCAACCAGCAGAAGGAAGUAGUUCACCAACAUGUAACAAUGUUUAUGUCGAAAUCUCUGCAACAGAUAGUCCACGUUCCGUCGUUAACAGUGAUUCUGAAGAAAUUGUUAUAGAGGAUGAUGAACCUUUUACAACUGAAGAUGCAAGUGAAAAUGAAAACGUCAAAGCAAAAUAUUCUGGCGAGAGUCCUGUAAUUAAAGAUGAUAGUUCAAAGUGUGUUUUAAAAGAAAGAGAAGAAGUUAAUUCAAAUGUUAUUAAUAAAGCAAAUCCUACAGAAAACAUUGUACGAGAAGAAUCAGGGUUAGAUAAUGAAUCUGUUGGACAAAAAACAGAAGAGGUUGGUGAAAACAUUGUUAAUGAGGAAAAUUGUGCUACAAAUGAAAAAAAUCACUCUGUUAAUGUUUUAAACGAGAGAAAUAGUACGACAGAGAAAAACGAUGUUAGUGCAAAUGACGAAAUUGAAAAUAUCGCACUAGACGUUUCUGAAGAAUCGAUCAUAUUUAAAAGAAAACCUUUACCUAAUAAUGAUCAUAACAUAGUCGACAGUUUAGAGGUGAAAGAUGAUAGUUCAAAAUAUGCUUUAAAGCCAGAAGGAGUUAAUUCAAAAAUUAUUAAUAAAGAAAAUCCUACAGAAAACAUUGUAGACAGUGUUAGUAAAGAAAAAUCUAGGUUAGUCAAUGAAUUUGUCGAACAAAGAACAAAAAUAGUUCAUGAAAACAUUGGGAAUGAGGAAAAUUCUGCUAUAGAUGAAGAAAAUCAUUCUAUUAACGUUUUACACGAGAGAAACAGCAUCACAGAGCAAGACGAUGUUAGUACAAGUGACAAAAUUGAGAAUAUUACCCCAAACAUUUCUGAAGAAUUGAUCGUAUUUAAAAGUAAAGGUCUACUUAACACUGAUGAAACUGUAGUUGACAGUCAAGAGACAAAAGAUGAUAGUUCAGAAUAUAUUUUAAGAGAGGAAGUUAAUUCAAAUGUUAUUAAUAAAAAAAAUCCUAUAGAAAACAUCGUGGACAGUGUUAGUGAAGAAACAUCAGAGUUAGCCAAUGAAUCUGUUGAACAGAAAGUAAAAGAAGUUGUUGAAAAUAUUGUUAAUGUGGAAAGUUCAGCUACAGAAAAUCAUUCUGUUAAUGUUUUAGACGAGAGAAACAGCAUUAUAGAGCAAGACGAUGUUAGUACAAGUGACAAAAUUGAAAAUAUUGCGCCAAGCAUUUCUGAAGAAUUGAUCGUAUUUAAAAGUAGACCUUUACCUAAUAAUGGUCAACGUAUAGUUGACAGUAUAGAGACAUCUGUAAUAGAUAAUAACAAACAAGCGACUAAUGCACCACCGAAUGUUGAAGAAAUAUCAGACGGAGUUGCUGAAACCAGUUUUUCCACCGUCGGUAGAACAAAUGCAGAGUUAACAAAUUUUCCUCAAUACGUGAUCAUUGACGGUCAGCAUUAUGUAGUUAAUAAUGAAAUCCAAUGUGUUGAUAAUGCAGAUUUGAAAAGUGACCAAUUUCAGAUUGCUUCAGAAGAAGUUUUAACCGAUAAGAAUUUUCGGAAUUUUGUAGCAAACGGCGUGUACUUAGAUGAAAACGGCCAAGAAUGCUUUGUUGAAAACGAGGACAAUAUUCAGACCGUUAUAAUAGACGAUGUGUAUUAUUCUUGUGAAAACGGCCUCCUCACAAUCGAAGAAGUAAGUCAUCUGAAUUCUUCAAACGCUUCAUCAGAAAAUAAUUCGGGGAAUUUAGAAAAAGAGACGACAGAAAAUGCAUAUAAUUUUACCAACCUCGAUCAUCCAAGUAGUUCUAAUAGUACUCCAAACAUUAACCCUCAAGUCACUAAGGAAUACCAUAAUACAAGUUUUAAUGAUGUUACCUCAACUACACCUUCUGGAACAAUUUCCGAAGAUAUCAGCAUUGAAGAAAAACAUAAAAGUACAGAAGAAAAUGUAAUAACUCAUCCAACUGUGAAGGAAGUAUACCGAGCAGCAGAUUCUCAAAAGUCAAAGUCUGCCAGCAAAAUUAUGUUCACUUCAACUGAAUCCAUUAAAUUGACAGAUUUCGACAAAUUUGAAAAAUCUGUUAAUGAUAAUCUGGUUCAUGAGCACAAUGAUUUGUGGGAAAGUGCAUUCUCGGGACCGGUUACAAAAUUAAAUAGCAAUUCCGGUGCUAAUUUUCCAGGCGACGGUGAAGGAAUGUACAGCUUUCAAGGUACUGUAGAGAAAAAGGAUUCUUCAAAAAGAAAUAAGUCAGAAGAUAUUUGUAGAAGUUAUUCUGUCAGUCCUACGGAAAACUCGCCAGAAUAUGAGACCAUAGAGACAAGCGAUUUUAAAAAAUACAUUCAAGAAAAAGAAAACACCGUAAACACUAAUAAAGAAAAGAAAAUCAGUAAAGAUCGUAAACAAAAUUCUCUAUUAAUUCACUUAGAUAAGUCUAAGAUACCCGAAUCGGUUUUGCGAAAAGCUAGAGAACAAAAAAUUACCCAGAAAGCUAACGAGGAGAUGCAAAGCAUGCAAAAUACUGCGAAAAGUAUAUUAAAACGUAAAAGUGUUAGUGAAUCGGCUAUUCCAAAUAAAAAGAAAGCAACGGUUAGCCCAGCUAUUCCUGAAGUUUCCUUCGAUCCUUACAAGUCUGAACCAGAAUAUAAAUUAAAAAAGAACGAGAAAGAGAAAACGGAGAGUUCUGCUGUAAAAUCUCAUAAAAUUUCAAAAAAAUCGUCAGAGACCGAGAAACAAAAGGCCAUCGAAGUCGUAUUUGGUAAAUCAAAGUAUAUAAAAUAUAACAAGGAGCACUUCUCGGAAGAAUCAAAACAAAAACUGGACGAAGAGCAUUUCAUAGGAUUGAAGAACUUAUCUUCUUAUAAGAAACAACAAAUAGCUUACAGUUGUGUUAUCAGAUACUACGGUAAAAGACAAAAAGUGUACGAUCCCCAAUUAUUUGAAAUGUUACCAGAGGUUUCCUUGCCGUUCUUCAACAAGACGGAAUUGUUGAAAAAGUGGAACAGUCAACGUAUGGAAAAGAUCGACAAAGACCGAUGGGGAAAACUCGAGAAGUAUUUGAAGAUUCAUCACAAAGAUCGCGGUAUGAAAAGAAGUUGCAUUCAAGAACGGGUCUUUUACGACAAAACGACCAACUCGUCGGAAGUUAUAGUGUAUAACGGCGGCGAAUCAUCCAGUCUGACAUCAUCACCGGGCUAUUCCGGUGCUAAAAACUAUAAUUCAGGUAGGGACAAUACUAGUCUGACAAAAGAUAGUACUAAUUUAACUUCGAAUAAUAGUUAUAAUAAUAAUUAUACCAAUUACGACGUAAACUUUCCCAUUGCUUACAAUCCUCAAGAUGCAUAUUCCAACAACUCAAUGUUACAGUCAUGUUUUUAUCAAUCAGACAUUUCAGAAAUAUGUGACACUUUGAAAAAUUCCGAAUUUUUUCCUUCUGAUCCGUACGUUCCUGAUGCUUGCGCUUCCCAGUUAUCUGAUAAUAAAAACAAUUCUAUCAUAUCUGAAAUAAAUGAUCAAAAUCCUGACUUAAACAUUUCCGAAGAAGACAUGGUGUCAAGUUUGAUUCCCCAGCUUGACGACAUAUACCUACAAGAUAGUGAUCUGUAUAACUCAUUGUUUCUUGCCCAAAAUCAAAAUUUAAACGCUUCAGUCUGUACUUCAUCAGAUAUCAAGCAACAUCUAUCUCAAUGUGUUGUCGAAAAUUCUACAACAGAUUCCUCUCAUUCUACUAUUCUUCCGGAAACGUUCCCCGAUGUUCCUAAAGUCAAUGCAACGUUACUUCAAGGAGACGGUGUUUAUACCUCUUUCAAUGAUUCUUGUACUACACCUAAUCCUUCUAAACUUCAAAAUUCUGUGUCAUCCACACAAAAAUCUAAUAAUUUUUAUUUAGAAAACUCUUCAUAUGGAAAAGUUAUUCCUCAUAUAAAAUCAAAUGAAACCGUUCAGUUUUCCACUGUUGCCCCUCUAACAAAAGUUGUUGAUGUAUCUAAACCUUCUGAUCAUUGCGCUAGUCAUCAGUCAUUUUCUAAAAUCGAAAUACCUUCUUUUCAACCUGCAUUGACAAAUGCCGGCGAAACAUGUACAAUGAGAUCACGUUUCAACACAUCUUUGCCUGUUAAUCCUGCUAAAAACCCGUCAAAACUUAGUAGCAAAUCUGACGUUAAAAACCAAAAUCUGGAUUCGCCCAAUUCAAUUUCUGGACUUCCAAUAACUGAUAGAUCACUGACAGCAAAAGAUAAAAAUGAUGGUCACUACAAGGCUCGUUUUUCGCCCUCCAGUUCAAGCCACAAUCGUGUGCAUCAUUUUUCGAAUAAAAAAAAUACAUCACAUCUUAUAAAAGAUCUUUUAAAUAUUAAUUUCCUUUCAAGCAAAACUACUAAUAAAACAAACAACAAAUAUGUAACAAGUCAUAAAAACAAAGAUAAGAUCAAAAAACAAAAUUUACCUGUCGAUAAUCGAUUGCCUUUGUCCAUCCGUAAAGAAAGUCCUUUAAUAACUUCGUCCAAUUCAGUAGUCCUUCCGGAGUCAGAAUUUUCAAGUUCUCCGAAGUGUUUUCAAGAGCAAAAAGAAAUGGUAUUACGUUGCAUCAAUGAAAAAAGUUUAGAAAAUGCUGACGAAGAGAUUAAUUUAAAAAAUAACAUGACUUUAUUAUCAGAUCACUCAAAUUUUUACGACAAUCACGAUAGUAGUAUUGAUUUAUCAGUAAAAACUAGUAUGCUUUCAAGUAGUAAUAUCGAUAAUUUUAUUGCCAAACAUUUCAAUUCAGAAACUGAUGAGUUUGGAAUUAAAACUUUACCUUUGAAAAAACGACGUACAUCUGCUUAUAAUGACAAUUUACCGCAAAAGUCAACUCCUCUAAACCCUGUGAACGAUGAAAUAUCCUAUCCAGCAACUCCUAUGAUUUCUAUUGCUGAGCUUGAAACAUUGAGUGGUAGUUGUAUGAACCAAACGCAAGGCCAAAAACUAUUUAAAACGCCUGCUGAAAGGAAAGAACUACCACCACUUCCUGUAGUAUAUGGCCUAAAUUCUGCAGAACCUACACCCAUAAUUGCUGAUCAAUUUAACAUAAACAAUCAUACAUACAACAAUCCCACCAUUAACUAUCAUAUGAAUAAUGUUCCUGUACCAUUUAUAAAUGUUUCUUAUCCUCCUUAUUAUCACCCUGUAUCGUCCUUUAUUGUACCUGAUGUUAGUGGUAAUGGAGUAUCAAAUUUUAAAAUGCCAGAAAGUAUAACAGCAGUCAAGAAAGAACAUUGUCACCAGACGAAAAUGAAAUCAUCGCUCCCCUUUGUCAAAUCGUAAAUUUGUUUAUUGCAUCAUAUUUGACUGUAAUAAGCAUUUAUUUUGUGAAACGUUUCUUAAUUGUUUCUUGCUCAAACUGAACUUUUUUAAUCAGUAUUGUAUUCGGAUGAACUGAAUUUUCUUGUCAUACAAUGUAAGUUUGAUUGUGAUUAAAAGUUAGACAUUGUUGAUUAUUAUCAGUUACCUUUUAUUUCACUGAAUGUAUUUAGAUCUAAUUAAACUUAAUCAUCCUCCAUCAUCAAGAUGCCAACAGUGAAAAAACCUAUUUUUUUGAGAAGUCUGUGUAACAUAAAAACUAAAAUCAAGACAGAAGAUGGACAACGCAGAACCUAAGAAGAAAGAAGAAAGUGAAGUUUUCUUGCCCGUUCAGUUAAAAUUUAGUUAAUUUUUUUAAUUUCCAUUACCUAGAUUGACAUUAUUAAACUAGUAAUUUAUUUAUUUGUUUCAAUUAUUUUCUCUUUAACUUUUGAUUUACUUUUUGUUUGGUACAAAAAUCCUAAAGCAGUAUUUAUUUCUUUAAAGGAAAACAUCAAGAACACGUACAACAAACGGACAAACGUAGAGGCAACGGCGUUAUUUUA